Molecule: ribosomal RNA, 253 nt
Filed under: uncultured bacterium
Lineage: Bacteria
Description: partial 16S ribosomal RNA
Rfam family: Bacterial small subunit ribosomal RNA
Source: RNAcentral
UACGUAGGGUGCGAGCGUUAAUCGGAAUUACUGGGCGUAAAGCGUGCGCAGGCGGUUUUGUAAGCCAGAUGUGAAAUCCCCGGGCUUAACCUGGGAAUGGCAUUUGGGACUGCAAGGCUGGAGUGUGGCAGAGGAGACUGGAAUUCCUGGUGUAGCGGUGAAAUGCGCAGAUAUCAGGAGGAACACCGAUGGCGAAGGCAGGUCUCUGGGCCACUACUGACGCUGAGAAGCGAAAGCAUGGGGAGCGAACAGG